UCACUUGUUCUUUAAAUGAGGACUCGUAUCAACGGCAUCACGAGGAUCCUACUGUCUCCCCCCUCUAAUCGGUGAAACUGAUCUCUCCGUGAAGAAGCGGAGAUGUACAUAUAAGACGAGAAGACCCCAUGGAGCUUUAAACCCAACGACACCCGCCCCCCUCCAAAUCCUACUAUUUACCCGGNGAUUGUUUGUUUGGUUUUAGGUUGGGGUGACCGCGGAGUAUAAGAUAUCCUCCAUGAAAAAAAGCUAACUGCCCUUAUUAGAGAAAGACACUUCC
This 280-nucleotide ribosomal RNA is filed under the name Boophis madagascariensis (Madagascar bright-eyed frog). RNAcentral's name for it is "partial 16S ribosomal RNA". It matches the Rfam family "Archaeal large subunit ribosomal RNA", at positions 2042 to 2499 of the family's 2987-position model. The record is from RNAcentral. Lineage: Eukaryota; Metazoa; Chordata; Amphibia; Anura; Mantellidae.